RNAcentral lists this long non-coding RNA (334 nucleotides) under Elaeis guineensis (African oil palm). RNAcentral describes it as "long non-coding RNA (EGUI_LNC065199)". Lineage: Eukaryota; Viridiplantae; Streptophyta; Magnoliopsida; Arecales; Arecaceae. The record is from RNAcentral.
CUGAUUCAGUGACUGAUCCUAUGGAAUCUGAGCUGAUCCUUUCUCCUCCUUUUCCCCCAAGUGGACACUCCCGCUUAAAAUGCCCUACUACACCACACCUAUAGCACUUCUUAGCCUCCUUGCUGCCUCCUUGCUGAGACUAUUUCCAUCCCACCUGUCAGCCCUUCUUCUUCCCUUUCUUGGGUCGCUCUGACACUGCAAGAUCCUCUAAAAAGACCUCCCUCUUCAUCAUCCGUUCCCACUGCUCAUUGGACCUUAGCACUGAUAGGUUCUCCUCAUACACUCCCAUCUCCUUUCUAUACAGCAGCAUAGUCACCAACAGAUUGAAACUCCC